CUUAUAUUCCCUCCGUCCAAAAAUACUUGUCGGAGAAAUGAAUGUACAUAGACGUAUUUUAGUUCUAGAUACACCUAUUUUUAUCCAUUUUUCCAACAAGUAUUUCCGGACGAAGGAAGUACUUU
Non-coding RNA from Triticum aestivum (bread wheat), 125 nucleotides. NCBI's taxonomy places the organism in Eukaryota, Viridiplantae, Streptophyta, Magnoliopsida, Poales, Poaceae. The record is from Rfam.